CAUAAACUUAGCCUGGUGCAAAAUCAGAAUUUUUUUCAAAAAUCAGAAUAUUUUAUUUUCAUAUUCAUUUCAGUAACACCUCUCUUCCAUAAUUGUAUUCUUUUCUUUUGAAACUACUGCUUUUUAAAUUCUCCUAAUCAUACCCCAAUUUUCAUCUCACCGUAUUUUUAUUCUAUGCUUUAAGGUAAUUCGUUACUUGAUCUUCCAGGCCCCUAAUACAUAAUAACCAACCUCAAUUUAGAGUUAUUUCAUAAAUGACUGUGGUUGUUGCUGUUGGCCACUAUUCUCCAUUCUUUGGGAGCGGAUAAUACGUUCCUGCCCCAUAGAAUUCAGGUUUGGCUGUGUGACAUAUUUGCCCAAUAAAACAUGAAUUCCUGUGACCAAAGGUAUGUGUGAGUCUAGGCCUCAAGGGGAAAUGAGCUCCCACCAGCACUCUGGCUCAUCUCUUCUGCCAUGAGAAGGGCAUUUUCCACAUCAAGACUAUGCCUUCUGCCUGGGGUAAAGAUGAAAACACAGGUGGAACACAGCUGCAUUUCCUCUGCAGGGGUCCCCCUGUAUUAUGAGCCAUAAAUAAAUCUUUGUGAUUUGUAAGUCACAGAGAUUUUUGGAUUUUGCCAACACAUUCUUGCUCACUGAAGUCUUGCCUUCUAAAUGCACAUGGUUGCAGGUAGUAACUUGAGUAAAUGCUUUGUCCCUGCAUGCUUUGGCUCCUUUACUACUGGAAAUGGGGCCUGUGAUAUCUUUAAAUAUAAACAAAGCCCAGGAUCAAUUCUAGAUAACAGAGAGUUAAUUUGCAGAAAAGAUCAAUUUCAGAUUUAGUUCCUCUGGAUCUAUUUCUAGAACUAAAUUCUGUAUUGGGGUUGGAUCAGAGAAGUAGAAACACCGGAAGUGCUAUUUAACAAAGGAUUUAUUAUAGGGAUUUUUUUUUUUUUUCUUUUUAGGGCCACACCUGCAGCAUAUGGAAGUUCCUGGCCUAGGGAUCAAAUUGAAGCUGAAGCUACAGCAACACUGGAUCUGAACCACAUCUGUUACUUAUGCUGCAGCUUGCAGCAACAGAGGAUCCUUAACCCACUGAGCAAGGCCAGGGUGUGAACCUGCAUCCUCACUAUGUCAGGUUCUUAACCUGCUGAGCCAUAUUGGGAACUCCUGUUAUAGGGAUUUGACUUUAUGAACAUGUAAGAGCUGGUUGAAAUGUCUGUCUGAAGCUUUUGCUCCCACGUCCAGACCUGGGGCCCACUGUGGAUGGAGUAGGUGGCUCUGAAGGAAAGAUAGAUGAGAAAUAGAGGGUGAGGAUUUAACAAGGAGAGAUCAGGGAGUGUAAGGACAAGCUGGAAUCCACAGGGAUGAACUAGAACUCAUAUAGGUCUUAGCAACUUUUCAGGAUCUGACUGUGAUUAUAGAUGGACCUGCAGGAGAAGCAGGUAUUUUCAUAAUGAUGGUAAAUGAAGCAGGACUCUGAAAAGCUAAAGGAAGGUAUCCAACAGGGUCUGGAAAUACUGCAACCCUGGCUGUUGUCACAUUUCCACCAGGUGAGCCAAGGUAUAUGUGACAGAGUGCCCUGGAGCACCCUGGCUAUGCUUCACCUCUGUCUUCCAAAUCUUAUGUGAAAUGUUUCUUGUUUUCUGACCCACACUAAUCUGGAACUAUGCCUGGAAGGGAAUUCUGGAAACACAGUUUUGGCUCAGCUUAAAACAGACAACAAGAAAAUGUCCCAGUCAAGAUUUGAUGAGUGAACAAUUAACCACUUUUAAGAAUGAACUGCAGUGAAUUUCAGCAGUCUGAAUACUCAGAACUCUCCUCUUCCCUAGGGAACCUAAUACUUCUGUGGAAAAUAUAUUUAUUUCCAUUUGCUUGUUUAUUUGCUAGCAUCAAAUCUCUCACCACCUACCUUCUAUGAAGCAUCAUCUCAGCCCAUCCACUAGAACUUUUAGGUUUGCAUGAGCUUCAACCCAUUUAUCUGUGUCAUAGAAGCCUUCCUGCCCUAGAUUAACCAAGCAUCACUUUCUCGAUGUUUUGAUUAUUCUAAAUGUCUAUGUCAACAUGCAAGAGUAAUCAAGUAGCAUUUAGAGAAAGGGUUCAGGAAGAGAUAAAAGAUAAUAAAAGCUGCAGCUUGUGUAACGGAGCGUGUGAUGUUAACUUCUUUAGAUAAUGAAAACAAGGAAGCAAGGAGAGCUAAAGAAAAUAAAGAUGAGCUGCUUUCCCUCACCCCAAACCUCAAUCCUAAUAUGUUUAUAACAAGCCACCAUCUAUCAGGGUAAAGAUACAUCUUCAAAAAUUAAAAGAUCCCUGAUAGUUUUUCAUUAAUAUAAAAUGUUCCAAUAUUUGCUAAUUUGGAUAUAGGAAGUUAAUUCACUAAGAGUAAUUAUAGAAGUGAUUCACGUUGCAUUGUUUGUAGAGUCUCUAUCUUAUUUGUCAGGAUCACUUAAAGCUAUGUCUUGCAGGUACCUACAAUUAACUCCACAAUUAAAGUGCUUAUUAUCACAAAUGGCUAAACACUAAGCUAUGUGUCAAAUCACUGCUUAGCACAACCUUAAGUUAAAGCAUCUACUGUACAUCUUGUUAUCCAGCCAAUAUAGAAAGUCGAGCCAAGCAUUUAAAACCCUGUUUAAAUAGACACAGUUACUAUAUCUAAUCAACACAGCAGUGGGGCUUGCCAAAAACCUAUAAAACUAAUGGAUUUGCAAGAAAAUUACAUCACCUUCAAAUCAAUGCUGGUAACACAGGUGGCAUUUAUAAAAAGCAAAGAAAUUGACAUUAACACAGCCCAUCUCUGCUGCCUGCCAAUGAGCACUCCAGCUUUAAGGAAAGAUCUUCUUUCUUCCAAGAAUUAUAUUUAAAUACGCUAACUUAAAUCAUUCUAAAAUAGUGUAGUAGAAAGGACCAGAGAUGGUUCUAAAAAUAUGUCAAUUGAUAAAUUAAGAAUACUCUGGUUUUAGUUUAUUAGGGCUGUCCUUAUCCAGCAAUGAGCAAAUAGUCUUUAAAAACAGAGUUUCUUUUCCUAUUGAAAAAAUAAAUAAAAGGAUUCACCAUCUAACUCAAACAUGACUUGCUUCUUCACCAAAGAGGCCCACAGAAACUGCAGUGCACAGUGUUAUAAAAAAGCAGCUGAGGACCCCAACCUGUGGCUGCAGGCAUAACCUCUGCUUUAGGGACCUGCAUUACUUAGCAGAUGGAAUUAAAAUUCUGAUAAGUGAUAUAAAAGGUUUAUAAGGGAGGAAAUUGUUGUGUGGUCACAUUGUCUGCCUUAAUCCCUUCCAGUCUGUGCUACCCAGCUUGUUAAAACCAAUCCAUGAGGAAUCAUUUUCACCUUGAAAACUCCAGAUGUUCAUAUGGAGCUUAGAAACAAAGCUAUCCAGAAAAUGCUUUCCUGGAUAAUUCUAGAGAAAUAGGAGGUAUGUAUCAAAAGUGUGUGCAUGCACACACACACACACACUGUUUACACACUGCCAUCAUAAAACACCUAUACGAAAUUAACAUAUUUCCUGGGAAGAGAUACUGUGUGCUACAAAUAUAAUCAGUUACAAAUCUAUUCAAGCAUAGGAAUGGCUUGUAUUCCACUGACUGAGCUACACAAAUAUUCCAUCUACAGGACUAGAUACUGAUAUCAAAUAUUUAGAUCAUUUGGCUUUAGAGGGAUAUCUGUACUGUCUCCUAAGAACAUUUUGUCCUCUCCUUUCAAAAAAUAAUCAGAGAAACUCAGAAGCAUUAGUUACACAGUGGAAGGGCCAAGUAGGUAAUAGUCCAUUUAACCGUAAGUAUUGGCAUCUUCCAAGGUGUAUUUUGUACAUGAGGACUAUAAACUUCAAGGGACUGUGUGAGCAGUAAUCAGGAUAAAGGCAUGUACGUAUAGGAGGAUUCUUCCAUGAGUUGCUAUAGAAAGGGAGGGUUUAAGUAAGGAUAUCAUUAAUAUAAUUAGCUACAAAAUUCUUUUUUUAAAACCAUGGUAGGAGACCAAUCAAGAUGGCAGAGUAAGAGGAAGUGGAACUCACCUCCCCAGUGAACACAUCAAAAAUACAACUAUGGAACAAUUCUCACUGAAAGUGAACUGGAAAUUGGCAGAAAGACUCCUGCACAACAAGGGCUGCAAGAAAGAUUCACACAUAAUAGGUCAGAAGGAAAGAAAUGCUCUCAGGUCAGGAACUGUGCAUGGGGAGGGGGACUCAGAGGAAAAGGGAGAAUUUAUGGGCAGAGCCCCUCCCUGGGGAUGGGCAGCGAGAGCCGCAGUUUGGGUGCUCCAGUCCUAGGGUUCUACACAGGGGAAAUGAGCGCCCCUUGUUUGGCUGGAGGACCAAUAUGAGCGUGUGGAAAGGCUGGACUCUGCUCCUGAGGAGUGUGUGGGGGCUGGUGUGCCCCCAAGGCAAGGUGGGAGGGUGGAGAGGGCUAUGCUCUAGCAGCUGCCUGGCUUCCCAGAAACCAAGAAACCACCUUGGAGUACACCUCAGCCCCAGCCAUAUGAAUACUCCAGCCCCACUCAGUCCACAUCACAGCACAGCACUGUACUUAGGGUAGCCAUGACUGGGGAGAAAACUCUCCCCGGGGAUGCAGAGGCAGUCAGGUCCCAGGGCAGAGCCUGAGUGGGGUGGCUGGGGCCAUGGUUGGUGCUUAUGCUGGAAAUACAGAAGAAGUAGCCCAGAACUCUGACAGUGGUCUCUCUGUUACUGAUGAUGCCCCAAAAUGCUCUGAGAGCUGACAUGAACCCCAUCUGCUUUGCAAUGUGGCUCCACAACAGGGCAGGGGUAGCAGAGGCUGGAGACAUAGAUGAGUUGUGAGGGACAAAGGGGACUUGCACCUGAGGGUCUGUCUGAGCAAAGCUAGGGAAAAAAUUAGGGGCGCCUCCACAGGCAGUGCAUUGGAGACAGUUCAGAUCUCUGUCUGUGGCUGAUAACCCAUAGGGCUACCACCCCUGCUUCAGCAUUCCCCCACUCUGGGGCAAGGGUCCCAGUGCUGGGAAAGGGAAAAGCAUGCACCUAAAGGGAACAGAACCAGCUCAAGCUCAAACUUCAAGGCUUCUGCUCUAGUAACUUGGGAUCAGACCCUACCCACAAUAAGGUAGUAGGGGCCACCAAGCCGAGGAGGAGUCCCACCUCACACCUGGCUCCAGCUCUUGUCCCUCCAUCUCCAGCCCCACCACCUACAGGGUGAUAGAUACCAGCACACCCUGAGGAAAGACAGGACUUGCAUCCACGUCAAAUCCAGCUCUCCCAGCAAAGGCACUGGGUACACCCAGUCUGUGUAAAGAUACACCUGGAUAAGAACAUCCUUUCAAGACAGUAGCAGGUAACUGUUUCAUGGAGGUAGAGAAAGGUAAACAAAAUGAAAAGGCAGGGGAAUGGUUCUCAAUUGAAAGAACAAGAGGGAACCUCUGAAAAAAAAAUGAAACAGAAAGAAUUUACCAGAUAAAGAAUUCAAAGCACUGGUAAUAAAAAUGUUAACUGAAUUAGGGAAAAGAAUAGAUGAACCCAGUGAGAAUUUUAACAAUGAACUAGAAAAUACAAAAAAAAAAAAAAAAAAAA
RNAcentral lists this long non-coding RNA (5513 nucleotides) under Sus scrofa (pig). Its description in RNAcentral is "lncRNA (ENSSSCG00060042161.1)". The record is from RNAcentral. Lineage: Eukaryota; Metazoa; Chordata; Mammalia; Artiodactyla; Suidae.